AUGGAAAAUUCAGAGAAGUCUGAAGUGGUUCUCCUUGCUUGUGGUUCUUUUAAUCCUAUCACCAACAUGCACCUCAGGUUGUUUGAGCUGGCCAAGGACUACAAGUGGAACAGGAAGAUACAGAGUUGUCAAAGACAUAAUCUCUCCUGUUGGCAAUACCAGGAGAAUGGACUCAUUCCUGCCCGUCACUGGGUCAUCAGGUCAAAACUUCCCACCAAGAAUGCCAAAUGGGUGGAAGUUGAUACAUAAAAAGUCUUCAAAAGGAGCAGAUAGAAACUGUUAAGGUGCUUAUACACCAUCAGGAGAAACUGGAGGCUAGUAACUGUGAUAACCAGCAGAACUUGCGUACGCUAGAAAGGCCUGGACAAAAGAGGAAGUGGACUGAACAAAGACAGGAUUCUAGUUGAAAGAAAUCCCUGGAGUCCAAAACAAAAGGUACAACAAAGGUCAAGCUGUUGUGUGGGACAGAUUAUUGGAGUCCUUUGGUAUUCCCAAUUUGUGGAAGGCAGAAGACAUCACCCAGAUUGUGGCAGACUAUGAGUUCACAUGUAUACUCAGGCUGGAAAUGAUGCUCAGAAAUUCAUCCAUAAUCUGACGUGCUGUGAAAACACUGGAGCAUCAUUCACAUAGUGAAUGAAUGGAUCACUAAUGAUAUCUCAUCUACAACAAUCUGGAGAGCCCUCAGAAGGGGACAGAGCAUUCGCUACUUGUUAUGAGAACUUGUCCAAGAAUAAAUCAAAAAGCAUAAUUUGUAAUUAUCGAAAAGCAUAAUCUGUCUUCUGAGGGUGAAGACAGGAAUGCUGGGAUCAUUCUGGCCCCUUUGAGAGAAACACUGCAGAAGCUAAGGCAAAGGAAUCUAC
Molecule: long non-coding RNA, 860 nt
Filed under: Homo sapiens (human)
Lineage: Eukaryota; Metazoa; Chordata; Mammalia; Primates; Hominidae
Description: non-protein coding lnc-PBX1-5:1
Source: RNAcentral